CAGGCAGCUUACUAAACUAUAACUGACGCUGAAGCACGAAAGCGUGGGUAUCAAACAGGAUUAGAUACCCUGGUAGUCCACGCUGUAAACGAUGAUUACUAGCUGUUUGCGAUACAAGUAAGCGGCUAAGCGAAAGCGAUAAGUAAUCCACCUGGGGAGUACGCCGGCAACGGUGAAACUCAAAGGAAUUGACGGGGGCCCGCACAAGCGGAGGAACAUGUGGUUUAAUUCGAUGAUACGCGAGGAACCUUACCCGGGCUUGAAAUGACUUGACCGAUCUGGAAACAGAUCCUCUAGCAAUAGCAAGUAUGUAGGUGCUGCAUGGUUGUCGUCAGCUCGUGCCGUGAGGUGUCGGCUUAAGUGCCAUAACGAGCGCAACCCACAUUGUUAGUUACUAACAGGUCAAGCUGAGGACUCUGACAAGACUGCCAGCGUAAGCUGGAGGAAGGUGUGGAUGACGUCAAAUCAGCACGGCCCUUACGUCCGGGGCGACACACGUGUUACAAUGGGGGGUACAAAGGGCCGCUACCUGGCGACAGGAUGCCAAUCUCUAAAACCCUUCCCAGUUCGGAUUGGAGUCUGCAACUCGACUCCAUGAAGCUGGAUUCGCUAGUAAUCGCGCAUCAGCAUGGCGCGGUGAAUACGUUCCCGGGCCUUGUACACACCGCCCGUCAAGCCAUGGAAGCUGGGGGUACCUGAAGUACGUAACCGCAAGGAGCGUCCUAGGGUAAAACUGGUGACUGGGGUUAAGUCGUAACAAGGUAACCA
RNAcentral lists this ribosomal RNA (768 nucleotides) under uncultured Dysgonomonas sp. RNAcentral describes it as "bacterial SSU rRNA". It matches the Rfam family "Bacterial small subunit ribosomal RNA", at positions 718 to 1502 of the family's 1533-position model. Lineage: Bacteria; Pseudomonadati; Bacteroidota; Bacteroidia; Bacteroidales; Dysgonomonadaceae. The record is from RNAcentral.